RNAcentral lists this ribosomal RNA (461 nucleotides) under uncultured bacterium. RNAcentral's name for it is "SSU rRNA". It matches the Rfam family "Bacterial small subunit ribosomal RNA", at positions 26 to 518 of the family's 1533-position model. The record is from RNAcentral.
AGAACGAACGCUGGCGGCAUGCCUAACACAUGCAAGUCGAACGCUCUUGGGGCUUCGGUCUCAGGGGAGUGGCGCACGGGUGAGUAGCGCGUGGGAACCUGCCCUGUUGUGGGGGAUAACCGAGGGAAACUUCGGCUAAUACCGCAUGCGCCCGGGGGUAACUCCGGGGAAAGAUUUAUCGCAGAGGGAGGGCCCGCGUCGGAUUAGGUAGUUGGUGGGGUAACGGCCUACCAAGCCUGUGAUCCGUAGCUGGUCUGAGAGGAUGAUCAGCCACACUGGGACUGAGACACGGCCCAGACUCCUACGGGAGGCAGCAGUGGGGAAUAUUGGACAAUGGGCGCAAGCCUGAUCCAGCAAUGCCGCGUGAGUGAUGAAGGCCUUAGGGUUGUAAAGCUCUUUCGGCGGGACGAUGAUGACGGUACCCGCAGAAGAAGCCCGGCUAACUUCGCGCCAGCAGCCGC